RNAcentral lists this small RNA (839 nucleotides) under Plasmodium billcollinsi. RNAcentral's name for it is "Plasmodium sp. DRC-Itaito ncRNA". Lineage: Eukaryota; Apicomplexa; Aconoidasida; Haemosporida; Plasmodiidae. The record is from RNAcentral.
UAUGUCUUUAUAUAUUUAUAUAGUUAUAUUUUUAUAUUUUUUAUAUUUCUUAUAUUUCCGGAUAAAUAUUUAUUUAUUUAUUUUUUAUUUUUUUUUUUUUUUUAUUUCCAAUAAUGAAAUUUAUGAAGUGUUAUUUUAUGCAAUUAUGGGUAUGUACACAAUACAUAUACACACACACAAAAAAAAAAAAAAAAAAAAAAAAAAACAUAUAAUUUUCAAAGGAGGGUUAUAUAUCAAAAGUAUUUGAAUAGAUCAUCUAUUUUUUUUUUUUUUUAUGAAGAAUCCUUAAAAUAUAUAUAUUUGUAAUUUCUUACAAUAUAUAUACUAAGUCACAUUUGAGGAAGACCCAAAAAAGAAAAGAAAAAAAAACAAAAAUAAUAAGAAAUGAACGUUAAUGUAUAUAAAGGAAUAAAUACAUACAAAGCUAUAUAAUAAUAAUUUACUGUGUAUAUAUAUCUUUUGUUUUCUUUCAUUAUAUAUAUAUAUAUAUUUAUAAAUUUUUUUUUUUUUUCCUAAAAUGUAAUUAGUGUUUUGUAUCAAUAUAUUAUAAAAAAAUUUUCUAUGUUUAUAUAUAUAUAUAUAUAUAUAUAUAUAUAUAUACAUAUUUGCUCAUUUUUUUUUUUUUUAUUUUAUUUUAUAUGCAUCCUUUUUAAUAAAUGAAGUUGAUAUAUUAAUUCAUCGCUUACAUUGAAAGUAGUAUAACUUAAAACCUAAAAGAAAAAAAAAAGACCAAAGCAAAAGAAAAAUUAUGAAUAAAACAAUAUUUUCAAUUUAAAAUAAAUAAAUAUAAAUAUAUAUAUUUAAUAUAUUUGUAGUAUAAUUAUAUAAAAUGGACAUUU